Molecule: non-coding RNA, 423 nt
Organism: Pelobates cultripes (western spadefoot toad)
Lineage: Eukaryota; Metazoa; Chordata; Amphibia; Anura; Pelobatidae
Source: the annotation of a GenBank genome assembly
GUGUGUCGUACCAGUCUGGACUUGUCGGAGCAGAACAGCAGGAGGUUGUCCAGGUAUAUAAUGCAGCAAAUUCCUUGUGCUCGAAGAUGAGAGACCACGGGCUUCAGUAGUUUGGUGAAGCACCAUGGGGCCGAGCUGAGGCCGAAAGGUAGGCACGUGAAUUGCCAGGGAAGGCCUUGCCAGUGGAAUCUUAGGAAUUGCCGGCAGGAUUGGUGGACGGGUACCGAUAGGUAUGCAACCUUCAAGUCUAGUCUUGUGAACCAAUCUUUGUCUUGUAAUAGGUCUCUCAGAAGAUGUAUGCCCUCCACCUUGAAGUGCCUGUACGUGACAUAUACUUUGAGUCGUCUCAAUUUUAUGAGGGGGCGGAAAUCUCCUGUUUUCUUCUUCACCAAGAAAAUGUUGCUGAAGAAACCCCGCCUUUCG